GGAGAAGUUGCAAGAAUCACUUCAAUUGUUGUUCCUGCAACCACAGAUGAUGCCCGGUGUUUCAGUUUCUGGUAUUACAUGAGUGGAGAGAAUAUAGGUGCAUUGGUUGUUGCAUUGGAGGAUCGAUCACUCACAAGAUCAAGAAUAUGGUCACUGGAAGGUGAUUAUGGUGACAGGUGGUUGCAAGGGCAAAUCGGAGUUAAUUACACUUCAUCUGAUUACAGAAUUGUACUUGAAACUGUAUUGGGCAUAGGUGACAAUGGUGUGAUUGCAGUUGAUGACAUUGUCAUGAGUCUGGGAU
This is a non-coding RNA of Styela clava, 301 nucleotides long. The record is from RefSeq and is a predicted model, not a curated record. Lineage: Eukaryota; Metazoa; Chordata; Ascidiacea; Stolidobranchia; Styelidae.